UGGGGAAUUUUGCACAAUGGGGGCAACCCUGAUGCAGCGACGCCGCGUGAUUUAGAAGGCCUUCGGGUUGUAAAAAUCUUUUGUAUAGGAAGAAAAUGACAGUACUAUACGAAUAAGGUCCGGCUAAUUACGUGCCAGCAGCCGCGGUAAUACGUAAGGACCGAGCGUUGUCCGGAAUCAUUGGGCGUAAAGGGUACGUAGGCGGUUAAAAAAGUUAGAAGUGAAAGGCUAUAGCUCAACUAUAGUAAGCUUUUAAAACUGUUUAACUUGAGAGAUGGAAGGGAAAGUGGAAUUCCUAGUGUAGCGGUGAAAUGCGCAGAUAUUAGGAGGAAUACCGGUGGCGAAGGCGACUUUCUGGUCAUUAUCUGACGCUGAGGUACGAAAGCGUGGGUAGCAAACAGG
RNAcentral lists this ribosomal RNA (402 nucleotides) under Actinomycetes bacterium. RNAcentral describes it as "Actinobacteria bacterium partial 16S ribosomal RNA". It matches the Rfam family "Bacterial small subunit ribosomal RNA", at positions 355 to 776 of the family's 1533-position model. The record is from RNAcentral. Lineage: Bacteria; Bacillati; Actinomycetota; Actinomycetes.